Bactrocera dorsalis (oriental fruit fly) is the source of this 4353-nucleotide long non-coding RNA. RefSeq lists it as uncharacterized. Lineage: Eukaryota; Metazoa; Arthropoda; Insecta; Diptera; Tephritidae. The record is from RefSeq and is a predicted model, not a curated record. The transcript is spliced from 3 exons.
GACUUUGACGACUUUCAAAAGGUAACGAUAGAACUUGAUAAACUUAGUUACAAUAACAAUAGGAAAUUAGCAAUCAAUUCUCAAUUACAAUACAACAAAAACAAAAGAAAUAGAUACCGAGCACCUUUAUGACAUUCUCUUGGCCAGAAAUAGAGCCAUUAUCAAUGACCUAGAUAAUAUAAUUCUAUCAAUCGCACUAGCACAACUAGGGUUAUUAACCCCUUGACGUAUUUCCACGAGUCUGACUCGUGGUGUGAAGAAGUGUAUAUUUGAUAAAAAGAGGAUUGAAAUGUUCUCGUUAUUUUCUGCUAAUAAUAUAAACAAAAAAACAUUGUUGCAGUUGAGUGCAUUAUCUACUGCAGAUCAGUUGUGUAACUAUCCAUAUUUUUUGUUACGCAUUAAAAUUAAAUCGUAGUAUUUUAUUUUUUGUAAAUUUGUAAAACAAGCGUGUUAGUCAUUUGUGACUUGUUUAGUGCAAGUUGUGUGCGAACAGUUGGAAGCGAAUUUCGUUGCGCUAAUUGAUACGUCAAGGGGUUAAACCCGAUUAUUUUUGAUAACAAUGAAAUAUAUUCAAUUUUGAAGAACGACUCAUUCAACAAGGUCACCGUAACUGAUUUGUUAUCAGUUUCUAAGUUUAAUAUUACGACGUGCGCUCAACAGUUAGUAGUCAGCGUUACAGCAAGAUGGAGAACGACAUUUGGCCAACUAGAUCCUGUUCAAGAAAUUGAUGAUGGCCUGGUCAUUAUAAACGAUCACACCGCAGCACUAACACAUAACAACGCUACUGUUUCACUAAAAAUAGGUACUUACCUAGUAAUAUUUUCGGGUAAAGCUAAUGUUAAUGGAACGAUCUGUACAAAUUGAAACGACAUCCUCAUAAGAGUAGCCACUGGGCCACCCAAAUAAAGAUAACCGGGAAAUACGAUAUGAUGAGCAUACCAUACUUAUGACACCGCAUUCUAGAAAAUCGCCAACUAAUGGACCAUUUAACCAAUGGUUACAAGACAGGAUGAGCAACAACAUCAUUUACCCUAAUAUCAUUAACUGUCAUUCCCUUGUUUCUGAUCCUAAUAAUCUUCGCUAGAAAACGGAGAAGGCGGACUGCAAUAGCAAGAGUAGUGUAAAACAUCACUCAGCCGCAAACAAGAAGGUCCGCGGACGUACCCCACUUAUAAGGGGAGGAGUUAUCAUAAGACUGUUUAACAGUCUAAUGUUACGGCAAGGUUGCGUGUGGCCUAAGUCAGCAGAAGUUAUCAUAAGAAAGUUUAUCAAUGUUACGGCAAAAGUUGCGCGUGGCCUGAGUCAGCAGAAGUUAUCGUAAUAAUGUUAGUUAUCAUAAGACUGUUUAACAGUCUAAUAUUACAGCAAGGUGACGUGUGACAUAAGUCAGCAGAAGUUAUUAUAAGAAUGUUUAUCAAUGUUACGGCAAAAGUUGCUAGUGGUCUGAAUCAGCAGAAGUUAUCGCCAAAGUUCAAUGUUACGGCGAAAGUUGCGCGUGGCCCUAGUCAGCCUUCUUACACCGGUAAAACAGGAAACUGCAGUGUAGCUGCCAGCGGAUGGCUUCAGGGAGUGUAGUUUGCUGAUUUUUAGACUAAAAUAUAAUUUAGCAUUAAGCUAGUACUCAUGAAACUAGUCCAUUUCCAUUUAAAAUAAACCAUUUGUGUUGAAACCAAAAACAUAUAUACAUAUAAGUAGUUCUCUAUACAGUGACAUAAUUGUUUUGAUCUGUUUGGGGUAAAAUAUAAAUUUUUUUUUAAAACGCUGCCAUUUUGUAAAUUUUAUAUGUACGGAGAAUAUUUUCUAGUUUAACCCAUUUCAUUCUUCUGUUGCGCAUACGCAUUUCUAAAGAACACAAACUUCACAAAAAGACAAGGGCAAAUUACAAAUGAUUUAUUUGUUACAUUCGUCCUAAGCAAUUUUAUUUAUGAGCGAUGCGCCAGAGUUGCGUACAUGCAACAUGACAGCAUUCUUAAAAGUGGUAAAAAUAUGAAUUAAUUGAUAUAAAUUGAUUUUAUUUUUUUCUCUACAUGUGUAUAGUUUUUGAAACAUGUAUAGUUAUACCCUGAAAAUUUCAAAACAAUUGAUACAAUAUUUUUUUCUUUAAUUCUCAAAAGUUGGCGGUUUUUAAGCUGUCACACUAGGUGUAACCCUUAAUAUUGCAAUUAGUUCAUUCUUUUCAUAAUUCCUUCCUUGAAAAUAAAUCAACUGAGGCUAUUUGCUCCCAUUGCACUACAUUUGCUCUUAUCCCAUAAUGCAGCCUCCACCAUGCUUGACAGUAUUAUUUAAAUUUUUAUCUUUUAGCCCUUCGACUUCCUUAUGCCACAAAAAUGGACAACCUACAGAUCCAAAUAAAUUAAAUUUGGGAUCAUUUGUAAUUAACAACAUUGGACAUUUAGCGUGUUCCUUGAUACUCCGAGUAUGUUUACUUUUAGUGUGGGACUUUUUUUUGGACUUCCUCUUUCAGCAAUAAUGUACUGAAAAGUAGUAUGUGGUUUUUUGACAAUAUUGCAUUUCGCGAGUUGUUCUCUUUCCAUUAUUUCACUACCAGAGCUUGUAAAUCUUGAUAUAUGUAUUUGUUUCCCAUUUUUUCUUCUAAAGGUAUGAUCGCUCAAAAGAACUUCGUUUACCAAAUAAUACAUUUUGACCAUACGCACCUAAAGUGUUGCAAACGUACGUAUACAAUUUUUUUUUGCCGUUCAAAAGUGAGAUAUUUUAUUUUUUUUUUUUGUAAUGGGUAACUUCAAUAGUGAUUUAGAAUAAAAUUUGUUAUAAAAAAGUGAAAAAUACAUAAGUUUCAUACAAAUGUUUAAGAGAUAAGUCACUUGAAAGCCAACACAUUUAUUCACUGUAUGUAUUAUAUUAUUAUAUUUCCAUAUUAGAAAUGUGUAGUUUUUCUUAAACUUAUUUUUUGGAAGUGUUACAAAAAUAGUGUGGCCAUCAAUGGAGACACGAUCUCAAAGAGCUCAACUAGACUGUAUGACUCCCGCUCCAAUUUGCAAGCGAGGAUCAUAAGGCAAUGUUGUGCCCCUUGGCACAGUCUGUCUCAUGUUUCAGACCGAAAUAUGUUCGAACAUUACAUUCUUCCAGUGCAAUGCCUGCUUUGGCUGAUGUCCUUUUCCACCGAGAUACGUUCUGCCUAGGUUGCCCUUAGAUGCAGGAGUGGGCAUCCGCAAUUCCAACAAAAAGCAACCAAAUAAGAUCGCUGUGCCAUCAUCGCAACCGCGGGGGCCACAACAUCCGCCACCUAUACAUCACUGGCUCACUCCCACUAUUUUAUCGCGACACAUCAAACUCUUACAUUUCAACUGUUCGUUUCCCUUACCUUUGGAUCUGGAUUGGUUCCCGGCCACAAGAUAUACUCAAUUCCAUAAAAUUCGUUUUGUUUUAAAAGCUGUAAGUGUUAAUAAUAAAUCAUUGUCAGGUAAUCAGAAUUGGCUUUAUGGCUGGACGUCACGCUUUAAUCUAAGAUUAUUUAACAAAGUUAGCAUGGUACCACGGGUUGCCCUGUUUUAUGAGCUAAUGACUACCAAUUCAUAAAUGGUUUAUUCCAAUGAAAACUCCGCAAAUGUUGAAGUAAAUGUUUGUAGCGAUUAAAGGUUUCAAAAAUAAUGAAGAAAUAAUGUAGUCCUAUAAUAGAUAAGUCAAAAUCUACCAAUAAUAAAACAAUGAUAUAGCGAAUAGUUGCAAUUAUUAAAUUAGAAAAAUGUCAACAAAAGUUUACAAGAAUGUCAUUUAAAACAGGAAACGAAGUUAUCUUCGGUCACACCAUAGCACUAUAGGUCAAAUGAAUGGUUUUUGAGGCAAAAAAUCAAUUUUUAAAGUGUACUAUUUAAAUAAAAGGAUAAUGGCAUUUUGUAAUAAACAUUUUGAAAUACCCAAAAAUACCAAAAUUAGAGUCAGGUGGCAACCCAUGUCUUAAAGCCAAGCUAUCAAAGUUGUAGUUUUUUUUUGGUUUGUUUUGUUUUCUGACAUUCACCUUUAUAGUGCCUAACAUUUAAUCCAUUGUUUAACAAAAUAUUAUAAUUGUAUACAAUUUUUAUAAAAUGGAAAAUAUUAAUUCAGAUUCCAGAUGUUCCUGAAUAUCAAUUGCCGACUACGUCAAAUGUUAUGGCAAAUGAAAUUUUUUCUGAUUUCGAAUGGGAGGCAGAGGAUCUAUCUCUUUUUAAUAUAGAGUUAGAAGUUGAUGAAAUAGCGGACAAUUUUGAAUCGAAUUAAAUCUUGAUGGCAUUGGAAGCACAAAUUAAUUCGUAAGCCGAUCACUAGCAAAUGAAGACUUAUUUAAUUUCAUGGUUUUAUGUUAAUAAUUUUAUUAGUAAAUAAAUGUUAUUUCUAGCAGAAUGCUCCAUUAUCCAA